UUUAUGGAGAGUUUGAUCCUGGCUCAGGAUGAACGCUGGCGGCGUGCCUAAUACAUGCAAGUCGAGCGAACAGACGAGGAGCUUGCUCCUUUGACGUUAGCGGCGGACGGGUGAGUAACACGUAGGUAACCUACCUAUAAGACUGGGAUAACUUCGGGAAACCGGAGCUAAUACCGGAUAAUAUUUCGAACCGCAUGGUUCGAUAGUGAAAGAUGGCUUUGCUAUCACUUAUAGAUGGACCUGCGCCGUAUUAGCUAGUUGGUAAGGUAACGGCUUACCAAGGCAACGAUACGUAGCCGACCUGAGAGGGUGAUCGGCCACACUGGAACUGAGACACGGUCCAGACUCCUACGGGAGGCAGCAGUAGGGAAUCUUCCGCAAUGGGCGAAAGCCUGACGGAGCAACGCCGCGUGAGUGAUGAAGGUCUUCGGAUCGUAAAACUCUGUUAUUAGGGAAGAACAAACGUGUAAGUAACUGUGCACGUCUUGACGGUACCUAAUCAGAAAGCCACGGCUAACUACGUGCCAGCA
This 530-nucleotide ribosomal RNA is filed under the name Escherichia coli. RNAcentral describes it as "bacterial SSU rRNA". It matches the Rfam family "Bacterial small subunit ribosomal RNA", at positions 1 to 513 of the family's 1533-position model. The record is from RNAcentral. Lineage: Bacteria; Pseudomonadati; Pseudomonadota; Gammaproteobacteria; Enterobacterales; Enterobacteriaceae.